AGCGAACGCUGGCGGCAGGCCUAACACAUGCAAGUCGAACGAACUCUUCGGAGUUAGUGGCGGACGGGUGAGUAACACGUGGGAACGUGCCUUUAGGUUCGGAAUAACUCAGGGCAACCUGUGCUAAUACCGAAUGUGCUCUUCGGGGGAAAAGUUUAUCGCCUUUAGAGGGGCCCGCAUCUGAUUAGCUAGUUGGUGAGGUAAAGGCUCACCAAGGCGACGAUCAGUAGCUGGUCUGAGAGGAUGAUCAGCCACAUUGGGAUUGAGACACGGCCCAAACUCCUACGGGAGGCAGCAGUGGGGAAUCUUGCGCAAUGGGCGAAAGCCUGACGCAGCCAUGCCGUGUGAAUGAUGAAGGUCUUAGGAUUGUAAAAUUCUUUCACCGGGGACGAUAAUGACGGUACCCGGAGAAGAAGCCCCGGCUAACUUCGUGCCAGCAGCCGCAGUAA
Molecule: ribosomal RNA, 449 nt
Filed under: uncultured bacterium
Lineage: Bacteria
Description: partial 16S ribosomal RNA
Rfam family: Bacterial small subunit ribosomal RNA
Source: RNAcentral